This 562-nucleotide ribosomal RNA is filed under the name uncultured bacterium. RNAcentral describes it as "bacterial SSU rRNA". It matches the Rfam family "Bacterial small subunit ribosomal RNA", at positions 338 to 916 of the family's 1533-position model. The record is from RNAcentral.
CCUACGGGAGGCAGCAGUGGGGAAUAUUGGACAAUGGGCGAAAGCCUGAUCCAGCAAUGCCGCGUGAGUGAUGAAGGCCUUAGGGUUGUAAAGCUCUUUUACCAGGGAUGAUAAUGACAGUACCUGGAGAAUAAGCUCCGGCUAACUCCGUGCCAGCAGCCGCGGUAAUACGGAGGGAGCUAGCGUUGUUCGGAAUUACUGGGCGUAAAGCGUACGUAGGCGGUUAUUCAAGUCAGAGGUGAAAGCCUGGAGCUCAACUCCAGAACUGCCUUUGAAACUAGGUAGCUAGAAUCACGGAGAGGUUAGUGGAAUUCCGAGUGUAGAGGUGAAAUUCGUAGAUAUUCGGAAGAACACCAGUGGCGAAGGCGACUAACUGGACGUGUAUUGACGCUGAGGUACGAAAGCGUGGGGAGCAAACAGGAUUAGAUACCCUGGUAGUCCACGCCGUAAACGAUGAUAACUAGCUGUUCGGUCUCUACGAGACUGAGUGGCGCAGCUAACGCAUUAAGUUAUCCGCCUGGGGAGUACGGUCGCAAGAUUAAAACCUCAAAGGAAUUGACGG